This 460-nucleotide ribosomal RNA is filed under the name uncultured bacterium. RNAcentral's name for it is "partial 16S ribosomal RNA". It matches the Rfam family "Bacterial small subunit ribosomal RNA", at positions 338 to 795 of the family's 1533-position model. The record is from RNAcentral.
CCUACGGGAGGCAGCAGCGAGGAAUAUUGGUCAAUGGGCGCUAGCCUGAACCAGCCAAGUAGCGUGAAGGAUGACUGCCCUAUGGGUUGUAAACUUCUUUUAUACGGGAAUAAAGUGCAGCACGUAUACUGUUUUGUAUGUACCGUAUGAAUAAGGAUCGGCUAACUCCGUGCCAGCAGCCGCGGUAAUACGGAGGAUCCGCGCGUUAUCCGGAUUUAUUGGGUUUAAAGGGAGCGUAGGCGGGUUGUUAAGUCGGUUGUGAAAGUUUGCGGCUCAACCGUAAAAUUGCAGUUGAUACUGGCGUCCUUGAGUACAGUAGAGGUAGGCGGAAUUCGUGGUGUAGCGGUGAGAUGCUUAGAUAUCACGAAGAACUCCGAUUGCGAAGGCAGCCUGCUGGAAUGUAACUGACGCUGAUGCUCGAGAGUGUGGGUAUCAAACAGGAUUAGAUACCCCUGUAGUC